GAUGAACGCUGGCGGCGUGCCUAAUACAUGCAAGUCGAGCGAACAGAUAAGGAGCUUGCUCCUUUGACGUUAGCGGCGGACGGGUGAGUAACACGUGUAUAACCUACCUAUAAGACUGGAAUAACUCCGGGAAACCGGGGCUAAUCCCGGAUAACAUUCAGAACCGCAUGGUUCUAAAGUGAAUGAUGGUUUUGCUAUCUCUUAUAGAUGGACCCGCGCCGUAUUAGCUAGUUGGUACGGUAACGGCUUACCAAGGCAACGAUACGUAACCGACCUGAGAGGGUGAUCGGCCACACUGGAAGUGAGACACGGUCCAGACUCCUACGGGAGGCAGCAGUAGGGAAUCUUCCGCAAUGGGCGAAAGCCUGACGGAGCAACGCCGCGUGAGUGAUGAAGGUCUUCGGAUCGUAAAACUCUGUUAUUAGGGAAGAACAAAUGUGUAAGUAACUGUGCACGUCUUGACGGUACCUAAUCAGAAAGCCACGGCUAACUACGUG
This 497-nucleotide ribosomal RNA is filed under the name uncultured bacterium. RNAcentral's name for it is "partial 16S ribosomal RNA". It matches the Rfam family "Bacterial small subunit ribosomal RNA", at positions 28 to 507 of the family's 1533-position model. The record is from RNAcentral.